Molecule: ribosomal RNA, 2900 nt
Filed under: Klebsiella pneumoniae
Lineage: Bacteria; Pseudomonadati; Pseudomonadota; Gammaproteobacteria; Enterobacterales; Enterobacteriaceae
Description: bacterial LSU rRNA
Rfam family: Bacterial large subunit ribosomal RNA
Source: RNAcentral
UUAAGCGACUAAGCGUACACGGUGGAUGCCCUGGCAGUCAGAGGCGAUGAAGGACGUGCUAAUCUGCGAAAAGCGUCGGUAAGGUGAUAUGAACCGUUAUAACCGGCGAUGUCCGAAUGGGGAAACCCAGUGUGAUUCGUCACACUAUCGUUAACUGAAUACAUAGGUUAACGAGGCGAACCGGGGGAACUGAAACAUCUAAGUACCCCGAGGAAAAGAAAUCAACCGAGAUUCCCCCAGUAGCGGCGAGCGAACGGGGAGCAGCCCAGAGUCUGAAUCAGCUUGUGUGUUAGUGGAACGGUCUGGAAAGUCCGACGGUACAGGGUGAUAGUCCCGUACACCAAAAUGCACAGGUUGUGAACUCGAAGAGUAGGGCGGGACACGUGGUAUCCUGUCUGAAUAUGGGGGGACCAUCCUCCAAGGCUAAAUACUCCUGACUGACCGAUAGUGAACCAGUACCGUGAGGGAAAGGCGAAAAGAACCCCGGCGAGGGGAGUGAAAAAGAACCUGAAACCGUGUACGUACAAGCAGUGGGAGCACCUUCGGGUGUGACUGCGUACCUUUUGUAUAAUGGGUCAGCGACUUAUAUUCUGUAGCAAGGUUAACCGUAUAGGGGAGCCGCAGGGAAACCGAGUCUUAACUGGGCGUUAAGUUGCAGGGUAUAGACCCGAAACCCGGUGAUCUAGCCAUGGGCAGGUUGAAGGUUGGGUAACACUAACUGGAGGACCGAACCGACUAAUGUUGAAAAAUUAGCGGAUGACUUGUGGCUGGGGGUGAAAGGCCAAUCAAACCGGGAGAUAGCUGGUUCUCCCCGAAAGCUAUUUAGGUAGCGCCUCGUGAAUUCAUCUUCGGGGGUAGAGCACUGUUUCGGCUAGGGGGUCAUCCCGACUUACCAACCCGAUGCAAACUACGAAUACCGAAGAAUGUUAUCACGGGAGACACACGGCGGGUGCUAACGUCCGUCGUGAAGAGGGAAACAACCCAGACCGCCAGCUAAGGUCCCAAAGUCAUGGUUAAGUGGGAAACGAUGUGGGAAGGCACAGACAGCCAGGAUGUUGGCUUAGAAGCAGCCAUCAUUUAAAGAAAGCGUAAUAGCUCACUGGUCGAGUCGGCCUGCGCGGAAGAUGUAACGGGGCUAAACCAUGCACCGAAGCUGCGGCAGCGACACGAUGUGUUGUUGGGUAGGGGAGCGUUCUGUAAGCCUGCGAAGGUGUGCUGUGAGGCAUGCUGGAGGUAUCAGAAGUGCGAAUGCUGACAUAAGUAACGAUAAAGCGGGUGAAAAGCCCGCUCGCCGGAAGACCAAGGGUUCCUGUCCAACGUUAAUCGGGGCAGGGUGAGUCGACCCCUAAGGCGAGGCCGAAAGGCGUAGUCGAUGGGAAACAGGUUAAUAUUCCUGUACUUGGUGUUACUGCGAAGGGGGGACGGAGAAGGCUAUGUUAGCCGGGCGACGGUUGUCCCGGUUUAAGCAUGUAGGCUGGUUAUCCAGGCAAAUCCGGAUAAUCAAGGCUGAGGUGUGAUGACGAGGCACUACGGUGCUGAAGUAACAAAUGCCCUGCUUCCAGGAAAAGCCUCUAAGCAUCAGGUAACAUUAAAUCGUACCCCAAACCGACACAGGUGGUCAGGUAGAGAAUACCAAGGCGCUUGAGAGAACUCGGGUGAAGGAACUAGGCAAAAUGGUGCCGUAACUUCGGGAGAAGGCACGCUGGUGUGUAGGUGAAGCCCCUGCGGGUGGAGCUGAGACCAGUCGAAGAUACCAGCUGGCUGCAACUGUUUAUUAAAAACACAGCACUGUGCAAACACGAAAGUGGACGUAUACGGUGUGACGCCUGCCCGGUGCCGGAAGGUUAAUUGAUGGGGUUAUCCGUAAGGAGAAGCUCUUGAUCGAAGCCCCGGUAAACGGCGGCCGUAACUAUAACGGUCCUAAGGUAGCGAAAUUCCUUGUCGGGUAAGUUCCGACCUGCACGAAUGGCGUAAUGAUGGCCAGGCUGUCUCCACCCGAGACUCAGUGAAAUUGAACUCGCUGUGAAGAUGCAGUGUACCCGCGGCAAGACGGAAAGACCCCGUGAACCUUUACUAUAGCUUGACACUGAACAUUGAGCCUUGAUGUGUAGGAUAGGUGGGAGGCUUUGAAGCGUGGACGCCAGUCUGCGUGGAGCCAACCUUGAAAUACCACCCUUUAAUGUUUGAUGUUCUAACGUUGGCCCCUUACCGGGGUUGCGGACAGUGUCUGGUGGGUAGUUUGACUGGGGCGGUCUCCUCCCAAAGCGUAACGGAGGAGCACGAAGGUUAGCUAAUCCUGGUCGGACAUCAGGAGGUUAGUGCAAUGGCAUAAGCUAGCUUGACUGCGAGCGUGACGGCGCGAGCAGGUGCGAAAGCAGGUCAUAGUGAUCCGGUGGUUCUGAAUGGAAGGGCCAUCGCUCAACGGAUAAAAGGUACUCCGGGGAUAACAGGCUGAUACCGCCCAAGAGUUCAUAUCGACGGCGGUGUUUGGCACCUCGAUGUCGGCUCAUCACAUCCUGGGGCUGAAGUAGGUCCCAAGGGUAUGGCUGUUCGCCAUUUAAAGUGGUACGCGAGCUGGGUUUAGAACGUCGUGAGACAGUUCGGUCCCUAUCUGCCGUGGGCGCUGGAGAAUUGAGGGGGGCUGCUCCUAGUACGAGAGGACCGGAGUGGACGCAUCACUGGUGUUCGGGUUGUCAUGCCAAUGGCACUGCCCGGUAGCUAAAUGCGGAAGAGAUAAGUGCUGAAAGCAUCUAAGCACGAAACUUGCCCCGAGAUGAGUUCUCCCUGAGACUUUAAGUCUCCUGAAGGAACGUUAAAGACGAUGACGUUGAUAGGCCGGGUGUGUAAGCGCAGCGAUGCGUUGAGCUAACCGGUACUAAUGAACCGUGAGGCUUAACCUU